GACGAACGCUGGCGGCGUGCUUAACACAUGCAAGUCGAACGAAGAGAGAUGGAAGCUUGCUUCUAUCAAUCUUAGUGGCACACGGGUGUGUCACGCGUAAUCAACCUGCCCUUCAGUGGGGGACAACAGUUGGAAACGACUUCUUAUACCACAUACUAUCUAAUCUCGUCAUCCAGAAUAGAUAAAAGGUGGCCUCUACAUGUAAGCUAGCACUGGAGCUGGAUAAGCCGGCUGAUUAGCUAGUUGGAGGGGUAACGGCCGACCAAAGCGAUAAUCAGUAGGCGGUCUGGGGGGAUGGACGGCCAAAUUGGGACUGAGACCCGGCCCCGACUUCUACGGGAAGCAGCAGGGGGGAAUCUUUCGCAAUGGACGAAAGGCUGACGGAGCAACGCCGCGUGAGUGAUGACGGCCUUCGGGUUGUAAAGCUCUGUUUAUCGGGGCGAAAGGCCUUCUUGCGAAUAGUGAGAAGGAUUGACGGUACCGAAAUAGAAAGCCACGGCUAACUACGUG
Molecule: ribosomal RNA, 510 nt
Filed under: uncultured bacterium
Lineage: Bacteria
Description: partial 16S ribosomal RNA
Rfam family: Bacterial small subunit ribosomal RNA
Source: RNAcentral